RNAcentral lists this ribosomal RNA (253 nucleotides) under uncultured bacterium. RNAcentral's name for it is "partial 16S ribosomal RNA". It matches the Rfam family "Bacterial small subunit ribosomal RNA", at positions 524 to 776 of the family's 1533-position model. The record is from RNAcentral.
UACGUAGGGGGCAAGCGUUGUCCGGAAUCAUUGGGCGUAAAGAGCGCGUAGGCGGUCCGGUAAGUCCGCUCUGAAAGUCCGGGGCUCAACCCCGGGAGGCGGGCGGAUACUGCCGGGCUAGAGUCCGGAAGAGGCGAGUGGAAUUCCCGGUGUAGCGGUGAAAUGCGCAGAUAUCGGGAGGAACACCUAUGGCGAAGGCAGCUCGCUGGGACGUUACUGACGCUGAGACGCGAAAGCGUGGGGAGCAAACAGG